GUAUGUGAUAUUAAGAGGUAUAUAUGAAUCAUAAAUAUGGAUGGUUUGAUUGAUGAGUAAUUGAUGGUGACAGAAGAGAGUGAGCACACAUGGUGGCUUUCUUGCAUAUUUGAUGGUUUCAUGCUUGAAGCUAUGUGUGCUCACUCUCUAUCUGUCACCCCCUUCUCUCUCUCUAUAUACACCAUUUAAAUUUAUUUUAUAGAGUUAUAUACAAUUUGAUUUUGAUAC
This 228-nucleotide microRNA precursor is filed under the name Arabidopsis lyrata. RNAcentral describes it as "miR156f stem-loop (aly-MIR156f)". Its record names the gene aly-MIR156f. The stretch from base 67 to 158 matches the Rfam family "mir-156 microRNA precursor family". The record is from miRBase by way of RNAcentral. Lineage: Eukaryota; Viridiplantae; Streptophyta; Magnoliopsida; Brassicales; Brassicaceae.